AGAGAAUUGGAUUUGGGGUUAGUCAUAAUUCUGGUUCCUGCCAUAGUCAUCACUGUUGCAUUUAACAUGAGGUCUGCUUUUAGUGAGUUAGUUCUUGAAUUAAUAAGUUUUUAAUAAUGUAAUAAGCCUGAUGGACCUACCACCUCAAACAAAAAAGCAAAGCCCUUGACAAUAACCUCCAUGCAGCCCUGCGGCCCAUCCCACCCUGUCUCCUUGCCUCCCCACACCCAGAAUAACCAGGCUCCUGCAGUUCUGGACCGGAUUGGAGGCACUGCUGUCACAGAGUCUACAUUGGGUGACCCUUCUUGCAUUGAAAGCUAAAUCUUCUCUGUUGCGAAUUCUAUGGUGACACGUCUCAUGCUUAACUGGUCUAUCCUAUCAGGAU
Molecule: long non-coding RNA, 385 nt
Filed under: Equus caballus (horse)
Lineage: Eukaryota; Metazoa; Chordata; Mammalia; Perissodactyla; Equidae
Description: lncRNA (ENSECAG00000056248.1)
Source: RNAcentral